UUUUGUCCUGAAAUCUCUGAAGAAUAUCUUCUGUCCCAGGUCCCCUUGACCUACUUCAAGGGUCUGACAUCUCCUGUUCUCUUCAACUCCAACCCUCCACAAACCUGGGGAGGAUUUGAUAAUCUGUCUUGUUGCUGCUGAUUACAGAUUUUUGGAAUGCCUCACUUGUGUGUUUCUUUAGUCAAGAUUAUGCAUUUUCAAUGCUUUUGCUCCAACUGUGGAAUGAUAUUGGACUUACCUUUCUUAAAAGAAAUUUAGGUGUCAAAGGAGGAGGAAUACAGGUAAUGGAGGUAUGUGGAUCUUCUAAGUGCAGGUCUGUCUUCCACUACAGUCUUCUCUACAGACUGAGGCUUCCCAGCCAGGUUUGGCACAAAUGUGUAAAAUGUGAAGACUUCACUGGAAUGUCACAGGGAUUAUGA
Molecule: long non-coding RNA, 419 nt
Filed under: Ailuropoda melanoleuca (giant panda)
Lineage: Eukaryota; Metazoa; Chordata; Mammalia; Carnivora; Ursidae
Description: lncRNA (ENSAMEG00000030618.1)
Source: RNAcentral